This 305-nucleotide ribosomal RNA is filed under the name uncultured bacterium. Its description in RNAcentral is "bacterial SSU rRNA". It matches the Rfam family "Bacterial small subunit ribosomal RNA", at positions 338 to 659 of the family's 1533-position model. The record is from RNAcentral.
CCUACGGGAGGCAGCAGUGGGGGAUAUUGCACAAUGGGGGAAACCCUGAUGCAGCGACGCCGCGUGUAGGAAGACGGUCCUCUGGAUUGUAAACUACUGUCCCCAGGGACGAAGAUGACGGUACCUGGGGAGGAAGCCCCGGCUAACUACGUGCCAGCAGCCGCGGUAAUACGUAGGGGGCAAGCGUUAUCCGGAAUUACUGGGUGUAAAGGGAGCGUAGACGGUUAAGUAAGUCUGGAGUGAAAGGCCGGGGCCCAACCCCGGGACUGCUCUGGAAACUAUUUAACUUGAGUGCAGGAGAGGUA